Molecule: long non-coding RNA, 799 nt
Organism: Thamnophis elegans (Western terrestrial garter snake)
Lineage: Eukaryota; Metazoa; Chordata; Lepidosauria; Squamata; Natricidae
Exons: 3
Source: RefSeq, a predicted model, not a curated record
AACUGCAGAUAACAGUCAGCUGAAGUAGCCUGCAGUACUGCACUCUACCCACUGCGCCACCUCGGCUCUCUGAUGAGGUCUUCUUAGCUUCACAGCCACCUCCAGGAGGGAGCACCUUUCCUCGGGGUCCUGAAUGCUGCGCAGCUCAUCCCACCAGUGGAGUGGUUCACGGCAGAAUGCCGCGAAUCUCGUCUUGCUGGUGCAGCCGCCCACGUGCGACAACACAACACAACAUGCAUCAUCCAGACACGAACGGCUCCAUCAAUGAGACGAGGUGCUAUGGAGAACAGAUUGACCCCCUCUUCUUUUUGUGGCAGUCCCUCAGAUACUGGAACUCUGCUAUCAUAUCACUCCUUAGGAGAAAGCCCUUUGCAAAGUCAUUGUUAAUGUACACAGCUUGCAUAUGAAUUUACGAUCAGAUUGCCAGUAUCUUCGGCAGGUUUUGGGAUUGCAAGUGGUUUUAAAAUCAGUAGAUAAAGGUUUCCCACAGACAGCCUAAGAAGAGAUGGAAGGAACCUUGGAGGUCUUCUCGUCCAAUUGUCUGUUGUGGAAACUGAUGGCGCCAUUGGCGGUGAGGGAGAGAAGAUUGUUCUACGCAAACAGUGUGAGGGAUGCACACCAGCCACUUUGACAAAUAGAAUUGCUCACAAAUGAGCAGGUGCAUCUGGCGCUUGUGCAGAUGGAGCUGCGUGUGUAAGCAGGCUCGCACGCCAUUGUGUGCCCCAGUUCUUUAUAUAUAACAUUUUUUAAAAAUAUUUUUGUAUAAUAAUUCCAACUUCCAUUAAAAAGUGUGUCAUCA